GAAGACCCCGAGUGUUAUCCGGAUUUAUUGGGCGUAAAGAGUACGUAGGUGGUUUAGUGCGUCUAAUGUAAAAUCUCAUUGCCUAACGGUGAGUCUGCAUUAGAUACGGCUAAACUAGAGGAUGCGAGAGGUUUGUGGAACGCACGGUGUAGGGGUGAUAUCCGUUGAUAUCGUGCGGAACACCAAAGGCGAAGGCAGCAAACUGGCGUAUUCCUGACACUGAGGUACGAAAGCGUGGGUAGCGAACGGGGAUUAGAUACCCCGGUAGUCCACGCUGUAAACGAUGCUGGCUAGCUGUUUCGAGUAUCGACCCCUCGGAGUGGCGCAGCUAACGCGUUAAGCCAGCCGCCUGGGAAGUACGGUCGCAAGGCUG
RNAcentral lists this ribosomal RNA (373 nucleotides) under uncultured organism. Its description in RNAcentral is "partial 16S ribosomal RNA". It matches the Rfam family "Bacterial small subunit ribosomal RNA", at positions 527 to 896 of the family's 1533-position model. The record is from RNAcentral.